RNAcentral lists this ribosomal RNA (253 nucleotides) under uncultured bacterium. Its description in RNAcentral is "partial 16S ribosomal RNA". It matches the Rfam family "Bacterial small subunit ribosomal RNA", at positions 524 to 776 of the family's 1533-position model. RNAcentral also lists the same sequence under 1 other name. The record is from RNAcentral.
AACGUAGGAGACAAGCGUUAUCCGGAAUUACUGGGCGUAAAGAGCGUGUAGGCGGACGGUCAAGUGGGGCGUGAAAUCUUCUGGCUAAACUGGAAGGGGUCGUUCCAGACUGAUUGUCUAGAGUUCGGCAGAGGGGCGUGGAAUUCCGGGUGUAGUGGUGAAAUGCGUAGAGAUCCGGAGGAACACCAGUGGCGAAGGCGGCGCCCUGGGCUGAAACUGACGCUGAGACGCGAAAGCAUGGGGAGCGAACGGG